Molecule: ribosomal RNA, 761 nt
Filed under: uncultured euryarchaeote
Lineage: Archaea; Methanobacteriati; Methanobacteriota
Description: bacterial SSU rRNA
Rfam family: Archaeal small subunit ribosomal RNA
Source: RNAcentral
UUAUUGGGUCUAAAACAUCCGUAGCUUGCUUGGCAAGUUUCUUGUGAAAUCUUAUGUCUCAAGCAUAGGGCGCGCAAGAAGUACUACUAAGCUAGAGACCGGGAGAAGUAAGGAGUACGUUCAGAGUAGCGGUAAAAUGUGUUAAUCCUGAACGGACUAACAAUAGCGAAGGCACCUUACUAGAACGGUUCUGACAGUAAGGGAUGAAGGCUAGGGGCGCAAAACGGAUUAGAUACCCGUGUAGUCCUAGCAGUGAACACUGCACACUAAACCUUGUGAUCUCCUCGAGAGAUUGCAGGGCUGCAGGGAAGCCGAAGAGUGUGCUACCUGGGAAGUAUAGUCGCAAGGCCGAAACUUAAAGGAAUUGGCGGGGAGACACUACAACGGGUGACGCGUGCGGUUCAAUUAGAUUCCACACCGUGAACCUCACCAGGAGCGACAGCAGGAUGAAGGUCAGUCUAAAGGGCUUACCUGACACGCUGAGAGGGGAUGCAUGGCCGACGUCAGCCUGUGCCGUGAGGUGACCUGUUAAAUCAGGUAACAGGCAAGACCCUCAUCUCUAUUUACAUUUAUACUACAGAGAGAUUGCCAUUGUAAAAUGGAUGAAAGCGGGGGCUACGUUAGGUGAGUACAUCCCGAAUCCCCUGGGCAACACGCGCGCGUCAAUGGCAGAUACAAUGGGAUGCGACUCUGAAAAGAGAAGCCAAUCUCUUAAAGUUUGUCUCAGUCCAGAUUGAGGUUUGCAACUCAGCCUCAUGACG